AUACAUAUAUUAUAAAUUAUGAAUUUCACAAAGGUUUUAACAGUGACAUUUUUUCUUAUUAUGAUUUUUGUAGCAAAUAGUAAUGUAAGUGGUAAGGUGAACUUGGCUUGUCCAUUAAAGUGUGCAACAUCAUGUUUCACCAAUCCUGUUUGCUUAGGACUUUGCUUGAAGGAUUGCUUUUGUUGUAAAUCAUUCUAUUGUAAGAUUGCUUGUGUAAAGAAAAGUUGCUCCGAAUUUAAAGACGAUGAUGAGCUAAUGACUCAAUGCUGGGAUGAAUGUUCAACUAAGUGCUAAUUAGAAAGGCAUGUGCUACUAUACUAUUUGUUAGAAAAAGCAAACUAGAAAACAAUCUUGAUGAAUUAAAUGUAAUCAAGAUUUAUGAUGUUAAUGAAUAGGAGUGCAAUAAUAAUUUCUUUUUAUCU
Capsicum annuum is the source of this 422-nucleotide long non-coding RNA. RefSeq lists it as uncharacterized. Lineage: Eukaryota; Viridiplantae; Streptophyta; Magnoliopsida; Solanales; Solanaceae. The record is from RefSeq and is a predicted model, not a curated record. The transcript has 2 exons.